CGAAGCAUUAUGUUUACAACGUGUUACCGUUUGGCAUUGCUACUGCGGGUUACGUAUUUAGUAAGGUGUUACGCGAGGUGAUUAAACAUGUACGGGCAAUGGGUCACAAGUUAAUAAUGUACUUGGAUGAUGGCAUGGGGGGUCACGAAAACGUAGACAGUGCCAACGAGCUGAGCAGGCCUAGGAUUAGAAGCCACACUUAACGACGCGAUACAGGCUUCAGGGGUGGAGCCUGGGUCGUCCCUAUACGCCUGUUCAGAG
RNAcentral lists this unclassified non-coding RNA (261 nucleotides) under Mizuhopecten yessoensis (Yesso scallop). RNAcentral's name for it is "uncharacterized LOC110457925, transcript variant X1". The record is from RNAcentral. Lineage: Eukaryota; Metazoa; Mollusca; Bivalvia; Pectinida; Pectinidae.